AGUGAACGUUGGCGGCGUGGAUUAGGCAUGCAAGUCGAGCGAGAACCGUAGCAAUACGGGGACAGCGGCGAAAGGGACAGUAAUGUGUAGGUACCUACCCCGAGGUCUGGGAUAGCUGCGGGAAACUGCAGGUAAUACCGGAUAAUGUCUUCGGACCAAAGGUGUGAUUCCACCUUGGGAGGGGCCUGCAUCCUAUUAGCUAGUUGGCGGGGUAAUGGCCCACCAAGGCAACGAUGGGUAGCGGGUGUGAGAGCACGACCCGCGUCAUUGGGGCUGCGACACGGCUCAGACACCGAGGGGUGGCUGGAGUGGAGGAUCUUCGGCAAUGGGCGCAAGCCUGACCGGGCGACGCCGCGUGCGGGAUGAAGGCCUUCGGGUUGUAAACCGCUGUCGUAGAGGAGGAAAUGCAGGGGGGUUCUCCCUUCUGUUUGACCUAUUCUAGGAGGAAGUACGGGCUAAGUUCGUGCCAGCCGCCGCCGUAA
This 482-nucleotide ribosomal RNA is filed under the name uncultured bacterium. Its description in RNAcentral is "partial 16S ribosomal RNA". It matches the Rfam family "Bacterial small subunit ribosomal RNA", at positions 28 to 523 of the family's 1533-position model. The record is from RNAcentral.